RNAcentral lists this non-coding RNA (90 nucleotides) under Caulobacter vibrioides NA1000. The record is from RNAcentral. Lineage: Bacteria; Pseudomonadati; Pseudomonadota; Alphaproteobacteria; Caulobacterales; Caulobacteraceae.
GCGGGGCGGCCCUGCCGUCCCGCCCGCUUUUUGCCGGCCGCCCACGACCUUUCCUGCGAGGCUGCGUGACCUUGACCCCGCUCCGUAUCG